GAGGGUAUAGCUCAAGCUGUAGCGCACAUGCUUCACAUGCAUGAGGUCCUGGGUUCAGUCCCUUGUACCUCCU
RNAcentral lists this transfer RNA (73 nucleotides) under Camelus bactrianus (Bactrian camel). It matches the Rfam family "tRNA". From Rfam's summary of the family: Transfer RNA (tRNA) molecules are approximately 80 nucleotides in length. Their secondary structure includes four short double-helical elements and three loops (D, anti-codon, and T loops). RNAcentral also lists the same sequence under 2 other names. Lineage: Eukaryota; Metazoa; Chordata; Mammalia; Artiodactyla; Camelidae. The record is from Rfam by way of RNAcentral.